UACAGAGGGUGCAAGCGUUAAUCGGAUUUACUGGGCGUAAAGCGCGCGUAGGUGGCCAAUUAAGUCAAAUGUGAAAUCCCCGAGCUUAACUUGGGAAUUGCAUUCGAUACUGGUUGGCUAGAGUAUGGGAGAGGAUGGUAGAAUUCCAGGUGUAGCGGUGAAAUGCGUAGAGAUCUGGAGGAAUACCGAUGGCGAAGGCAACCAUCUGGCCUAAUACUGACACUGAGGUGCGAAAGCAUGGGGAGCAAACAGG
Molecule: ribosomal RNA, 253 nt
Filed under: uncultured bacterium
Lineage: Bacteria
Description: partial 16S ribosomal RNA
Rfam family: Bacterial small subunit ribosomal RNA
Source: RNAcentral